Molecule: ribosomal RNA, 688 nt
Filed under: Bordetella sp. N30
Lineage: Bacteria; Pseudomonadati; Pseudomonadota; Betaproteobacteria; Burkholderiales; Alcaligenaceae
Also listed under: 1 other name
Description: bacterial SSU rRNA
Rfam family: Bacterial small subunit ribosomal RNA
Source: RNAcentral
AUCACAUGCAGUCGAACGGCAGCACGGAAUUCGGUCUGGUGGUGAGUGGAGAAGGGGUGAGUAAUGUAUCUAGAUCGUGCACAUCAGCAGGGGGAUAAGUACGCAAAAGCGUGGCUCAUACCGCAAACGCACUACGGGGGAAAGCGGGGGACCGUCUGGCCUCGCACUAUUGGAGCGGCCGAUAUCGGAUCAGCUGGUUAGUGGGGUAACGGCUCAGAAACGCAACAAUCCGUAGCUGGUUUGAGAGGACGACCAGCCACACUGGGACUGAGACACGGCCCAGACUCCUACCGGAGGCCGCAGUGGGGAAUUUUGGACGACGAGGGCAACCCUGAUCCAGCCAUCCCGCGUCGUGCGAUGAAGGCCUUCGGAUUGUAAAGCACUUUUGACAGGGAAGAAGCGGAGCCAGAUAAUACCUGGCGCGUAUGACGGUACCUGCACAAGAAGCACCGGCAAACUACGUGUCAGCAGCCGCGGUAAUACGUAUGGUGCAAGCGUUAAUCUUAAUUACAGUUCGUAAAGCGUGCGCAUGCGGAUCGGAAAGAAAGAUGUGAAAUCCCAAAACUGAACUUUGGAACUGCAAUUUUAACUACCGCUCUAGAGUGUGUAAGACGGAGGUGGAAGUCCACGUGUAGCAGUGACAUGCAUAUAUAUGCGGAUGAACACCGAUGGCGAACGCGACCUCCUG